GAUGCCUGAUCUCAUCAAUCUAGCGGGAGAGACGGGAUAACCUGUCCGAGAUUAUAGCGCCGCUAGGACUCCGCCGAAAAAUCACUUAAAAAAUUGCCAAAAAUUACUUCGUGCAAAGGGCAGCCCGCGGAGCUUCACCAGGGUUGGCGCAGACGGUAAGAACCUGAAGAAGUAACAGCGGGACCUGGGAGGUGGCAGUGGGGGACCGUCAGGCGAUGGGGGGGGGGGGGCAGCGAGGGGGCACUGGGUCCGCCCUCNNNNNNNNNNNNNNNNNNNNNNNNNNNNNNNNNNNNNNNNNNNNNNNNNNNNNNNNNNNNNNNNNNNNNNNNNNNNNNNNNNNNNNNNNNNNNNNNNNNNNNNNNNNNNNNNNNNNNNNNNNNNNNGGGGCUCCGCAGGCCGGGGCUUCUUGACAGGAGAGGGGCGAGCGUCCCCUCCCCCAUUUGCCAAACCGAGCGGUCUUUAAUCGCAGUUUUCCCGGCCCGCUGACGGCCGUCUUCUCGUGACAUGAAAUUUAAGAUCUACGGAAAAUUAAGGACCGAGAGUCUAGUGGGUGCCUCCAGUCCGUCGUGCGGACCUGCUGUCCGCGGGACCCAGCACUGUAUAUUGUGUUAGACGCUGAAGCGUGAGGUGCCCUCGGAAUGUGGGUUUCACAACGUAGCCCUACGGCUUUGCGCUCCUCGGUCCCGGCAGGAGUAACCCUGACGGUGUCUGGCUUUUCCAAUUUGGGCAAGAUAGGGCGGGGGCAGACUUUUGAGGUUUCAGCGGGCUCCUAGGGAAGAUGCUGGACUUUCGCUUUUCGCUCGGGAUUUUUGUCCUUUGCUCUCACGGUGUUGUUUUUUCUGGGGGGGAGGGGGUGAAAGAUAGGGUUUGGAGCUUGCAAUUUCCUUCUCCCAGUUGCACUUUUCUUAGAAGACUCCUCCGAUCUCUGAAACAUGUCUCAGGGAAAAAAAAGCAAUCUGUGAAACUGUAUUGAUGUUUUCCUCACGAAAAAGUCUUAGCCCGGACAGCUUAACGGUAAUUUUGCGAUCUCCACCUUUUCUCGGGAACUCUCUUGACUGAGGCGGAGGGAAGAGGACUGUUAUUUGUCUUUCCCUUUAGUGAUUUUUUUUUUUUUUACGUCGUAGUUUCUACCAAUUCUUAGUCGAUAACUCUUGAAUGAUUUGAGCCAGUUACGGUUUUAAGCAGUACUUUAUAAAUAAUGGCCUUCGUAAAAAUUAUUCAUUAAAGAUCUGUUAGGUUUUGAGUCUUUUUCUGCGCUGAAGGCACCGCUGAUUAACCCUUUGCCGGUGUGUUUUGCAUGUGGGGCGCGCGGCUGUGGGUUGCGAAUAUGCAGGAGAUGGGUUUUGCAGCAGCUAUUCAAUUGUUCGCGAAGAGGAAAAACGCUUUCUGGGGACCGCACUCACACCCUCUUUAGGACCACCUGCCUGAAGAGUUUUUCCCCCUGGAAUUGAUGUAACGAUUGAUUGAUUUCUUAUUUCUGUAAAGACUGGAGGACCCGCCCUCACUUAGAAUCUGUCCCCGAGGAGAAUAGGAGAGCGCAAUGUGAUGUUUUUCAAAUUGUGUCUAACGGAGCUCCCAAAACACCGGACUUGUUACCCCCUGAUUGGCUGGAAGGGAGCGGGACUAGGGGGUUUGAAAGUUGAACACUAGAUUGUGAUUCUCGACUUUGAGAAAAAUACUUUUAGAGAACCACGGAAAUAGUUAGGAAACGUUAAGACGGGGAGUUUGGGGGGUGGGGGGGGAAGCUGGUGUUUAGUAUUUUUUUUCUUCCAUAAAGGACUUUCGAACAGUUCUGAAAUGUGUAUUAAAAGUAAAACUGAGGAUGCAGUUUUCGCAAAAAUUGUAAUUCUGUUGGCUGAAAUUGCAAGAUUUUUAUGUGUUUGCCCCUGUUAUCUGUUGGUUAAAAACUGACUGUAGGGUCUAGGGUUUUUAUUUCUUUGGCAGAAAAUUUUCAACUUAAGCUACACAUUUCGAUGCAGAGUUCGGGAGAAUUGUUUCUUUUAUUUUGAUGAUAAGAAACUUAACAUUUCUUAGGAACGAGCCUCCCCACAUUGCCCAUAAAAAUUGUAUGUAUUUAAAUUUAUUUUCCACAUCUAACUUAAAACACAUGGGUUUUGCAAAUUCAGGCAUUGCUGUGGACUUAAAACUUUAUUAACAAGAAAUUUACGUUGCUUAAUUUAGACAAUACAACAGGUAAGUAUGCACAGGUGCUUAUGUAUGAUUUCAUUCCUUUGAUAAAUUCACUGUGAAGAAAUACAUCGCAUACACCAUUGUGGGUGUGUUGUGUCUUACUUGGUUGGUUUUCAGUUCAUUUUUGUUUAAUGUUGGUUGAGACAGCCGUCAAUAUAUUUCUAUUUAUUACCAAGCUUGUCAUUCCGUUUAAUUGCAUCUUGAUAAAAGGCGGGUGUGGUUUUCAAAGCAAAUCGGUGAAGUCAGUGAUAAACAAGAUAGCUGUAGGUACUUUUUAAAAGAUUUUUUAAUUUAAUAGAAAUUAAUGUUCUUUUAUGAAUAGCAGUUGAAAUUUUGAAACUUAGUUUGUAUUCUAACAUUAGGUCAAAUAUACAUUGUUAGAAGAUAUUCAAAUGAAAAGAUCCCACGACUUUUAAAAUCUCUGUAGGGCUAUAAAUAUAAUUUAUAUUGAGUGAAAUAGCUGAGUUUAUAAAUAAUGCUAUUUUGUAUUGCCUUCAUAACAAGAAUUGCAAUUGUGGAAUCUUUGUUCAUUACCUUUCUUCAAAGCUGUUUAUUUUGAAUCAUCUCAUGAAAAUUUCAUGAAAGGUGCUAAUUAUCCUCUCUAUAAAAUUUGACUUAAUGAAGUUGUAGGAGACCUCAUUUCUGUUUUAAGUGUAAUUUUACCUAUGAUACAGAACUAUCAGGUUUUGCUUUUUUUACUGUUAUUUUGGGUUUGGGGUUUUAAUUUUCAUUCAGAUUAUUAUGUGACUUGGAGAGUUUUGAGGGUGGGGUAAGAGAGGGCUUUAAAUUCCACCAGGCGGGUUAAACUUAACCAUACUUUUUUAGUGCUUUGGUUUAUGAGGGUUUUUGUUUGUUUUAAGGAGUGAUGGUGAAGAAUUGUUUUAUUUAAUAAGCCAUUUUUUAAAGAAGUGAAGGAUUCCUUUAUUUAAAAUACUACACUUAAAGCUUGAGAAUGUACUAGCACCUAAAUAAAAAUGACAGCAUUUAAAAUAUUUUCUCUUUUUAUGUGAUGGGUUUUUAGAUUUGUGGCCAUGUAGGUAUGAGUUCCAACAUGUAUAUUAUUAUUACGUAUAGUAUCCAUAUUUCUCUGUAGAAAUUGAUAAUUCUCAUUUUCUAUUGUAAGGACUAGAAAAGUCAUUUAUUCCCUCUGGAAAACAAUGGUGGGUAAAGGUGUUGCCAGUAGCUCUACUCUUUUUAAAGCUAUGUUUAUAUAACAUGGGGGAGAGGGAACUAGAGAAGGUAAGGUGUCAGUCUUCCUGGUAGCAUUGAUAUUCAUUUGUUUGCCUUUCAAUUUUUUUUAAAACUCCAAAUAAAAGUGCAAUUUUAGACUUUGCUUUAAUGCUAUUAACUUGCCUCAGUUGUACAUUUACAAAAUAUAACCUCCAGUGUUUGCAAGUAACACUACAUUUUUUCUAAUCAGAUUAAUAUCACUUUUUAAUGUUACCAAAAACUGGAACCAAGGAUGAAAAUUUCACAAUAGCUUUCAUAUUCUGGAUCCCUUGUUUCAUCAUGUUUUGUGUACUACAUUUUUGUUUUUUGUUUGUGAAGACGUGUAUAUUUUUAUUUCUGUUUAUUGGCAUGCAGUAACAAUAUACUUCAAUAUUGGUCAGUUAAUAAGAUUUACAAGAAAAAAAAAAAAUGCCCAGAGACUGUAUUGGGUAUUUCUUCUAUGUGAUACAUAAGCUUUCUCCAAUUAAAAAAAAAUCAAUUAAAUACACUAUUUUGAAAUUUUAUUGUAUAAAAAUUUGUCUCUCAUUUUAAAAAAUUUCACUGGCCUAAAAUUGGCUUUUUUCUUUUUUCCUUUUGUUUAGUGAAACUUAAUAAUUCCCACAUUGAUUUCUUUUUAACCCUUUUUUAGAAGAAACAGGUUAUUGGUCUGAUUAUGACUAGAAAACACAUUUUAGAAAGAACUGUCAUGCCAGAGUGUUCAUGUACAUGUAGUUUUGUUAUUUCUUACUGUUACUAAUUUUUAUUUAGCAAACUUAGAAACACUGUGGCCAGACAACUAAUUUGGCAUGUAAUUAGACUCAAACUAUGACUUGCUGAAAUUUGGUAGCCCCACAUCUCUUAAGACCAAAGGAAAUCAAUAAUAAACUACCACUUUCAAAUAAGUGUCAAAAAUUAGAUUAAGUCAUUUUUGCUAGUGUUAGUAUUAGACUUUAAAAGUCGUGAUUGUCUUAACAAGAGUAGUAUCACUUUUAGAAUUUCACGUUACUAAUAAAUGUUUAUAUGUUUGAUUAUUUGCAUAUACAAAUGACUGUAGAGGCUUCCUAUAAAUAUUGCUUUCUUAUAGGGAAAUGAUUUUCCUUUGCCUUUUUCCUCCCCAGUGUCUGUCUUAGAGAUGCUUUAAAGGAUCUCCUUUUAGAAAGAAAAGUUUCAAAUAUGAACUGAUAUUAAGUAUACAUAUUAAUUUUAUUUUUAAUAUUUUUUAUCUAAUUAUGAGAAGGUUAAUAUACUUUUUUUAUUACUUUCAUAUUUCACUAAAAAGUCUUUGCCCUGGAAAAAUUUUGCACUGGGUUUUAAGUGUAAAUAACUACUUUGUAAUAUGUUUGACAUUGAGUUGUACUAGUUUGGGGGGGCUACAUCUUUUUUUUCUUAUCAUACACAUUUGGUUUAAUAUUUAUCUUCGAUCCAAACCUCUUUUGUUCUUUAUUGUCUAGUAUUUGUUGUUUCCCCACUAUUUGAAAACUUUUGGCAUGGAGUACAUAAUGGUUUCUAUUUUCUUUCUGUGAUUUUUAAAGUUGUGACACCUUAAUUUUCAGAGUGCUCAAAUAUAGAAAACUUUGUCUAGAUCUUUUGAGAAGGACUAUGUAGAAAUGAUUUUAAUGUUUCAAAAUGUCAUGGUUUUUGGGUUGAUGUUUGUGAGUUACAUAUGUGUGCUAUUUGUUGUUAAAUAUUUGGCGGCAGAGGAAUAAAGGUUUUUUGGUUCUCAUUUCUUUUCCUAAGCUAUUCUUAAAUAACAGUAGAAAUCUGAACUCGUUAACAUACGGUACGGUAUAAACCUAUGGUAAUUUAACAACUUUAUAUUUUUACAUAAUUGCCAUUAAAUCAUUAAGAUUCAAGUGAAACAAAUGAAGAAGCCACUUCUAUACAUUUGGUUACACCAUCUACCUGGAAAUAUGAAAAAACCAUUGGCCCAAUAGUCAUCCACUUGUUACUUAUAAAUAUUUUAAUUUAUUUAAAAAGUUAAUUCUAAAUUUUUUUUCUGUUAGAACUGUAAUGUCUUAAAAUAUUUGGAAAUAUCAGUAUAAUUGUUCACUUGGGCAUGGCAAAAGACCAAACUUAAGAAUAGUAAUUUCUGUCAUCAUUAAAAUGUUUGAUAAUUUGGGGAGAAAGGUAGUUAAAAAUUUAUCUCUGUCUCUUGAGUAGUUCUUUUAACUGUGGAUUUUAUGAGUUUUAGAAACACAAACUGUAUUUCUGAUAUUUUCCUUAUGGAGUCACCUUUACCAGUCCUCCAGCACUUACACACACACACACACACACACACACACACACACACCUUUGAAAAUGAAUGCCCUAAAGAGAAAUGAAAGCAGAAACAUAUUAAUCUGAUUUGUUUGAAGAGGCUUCAGAUGAUAAAGCAUAUCACAGGUGUUUCUAAUCAAGUUAUUUCUGCUUAAAAAACAUUAUUUUCAAGUUAGGGUUUCUUUGAACACAGGCAAGAUUGGGGUCAUUUUGAAGAUUUUUACCUUCGUGUUCAGGGAUCAACUGUGGAACUGCAGGAGGCGGAAAUCUGUUGAGUGUCUUCAUGCUAUAAUACAUGACAUUUUUAUUGCAGGUUUUGACCUUUAGGAGAGAGCCAAUUCUGGAGAACAACCUAACUUCUCUGAUUGAACACUCACAUAAUGCAUUGGAACAUGAUAGGAGAUUAAGGUAUACUAAUGAAUUUUAAAAGCAUACUAUUUCAUAUCUUUGCAGUAUAAUUGGACUAGACCAUUAGUAAAGCUAGAACUUUUAGGUGAGCUAAAACCAAUAAAGAUUUAUUAAUAGACAGAAAUCUGUGAAGUGGUCAGGUAGGCUUCUCUUAUUAAAACUCCACAUUUUUUAAUAUAAUUGCUAUUCUCAUCGACUUUUAUUAGAUCCAGUCCCAACUGAAUUUAUUCAUUCUAAAAAUAAGAAUAUAUAUAGUGAUUUUUCUUUUUUUUUUUUAAGGUUAUUAUACUGGUAAUAUAAAGAAGAAUUAAAUAGUACACUUUUCAUCUCAUAAAAUGAAAGGUUUAAAUCAAAUAGAAUUUGGUGCUUGGCUGUUUGACAGGUAUAAUGAUAGGUAGAGCCUAUAAGUUUAGGUAAGAUUAAUGAGACUAUUUUAAGAGAAUUUAAAGUAUCCCAGAUACCAUCCUAACCAAAAGUGGCAUUUUGGUUGAAACUGAAAAACCCACUUUCUUAAGCAGAAACUAGUAUCUUACUCAUAGGUACUCUGAAUAAAAUAAAUUGUUCAUAUCAAAAAUUACAGACUAUAAAAAUGUAGAAUGCCAAAACUUCCAGUAACUUAAUUUUGCCUCCAAAAUACUUUAUCACAGAGCCACUUUUCUAGUAUAUUUUCUUUGAUUUUUAUAGUUUUUUGAAGGUUUCAGAUACUUAGCUAAUAAAAAUUUUGAUUGUUUUGUAAACAGUGACCUGGUAUAAUGAAAAUGAACUUACUGAACAAUAUUACUAAGCAUUGGUUAAUUUUUGCAUGGUAAAAAUAUUAAUCACAUGAUAAAGUAUUAACCCUAACGUAUUUUUAAAAAAAGUAUUUGCUAAAGUGAGGUUUACUAAAAUAGAGCAUAAUAUGAAUUUUUCUUUAAAUUUUUUUUCACCUAAAAAUAUUUACUUUAUAUGCUUACGAUACAGGAGAGAUAGCAAAGAUUUGUUUUCCUAAGAAAAGUGUUAAUUUUGUCUUAUGAGUGAAGUGUAAUUGUCAUAUAACUGCUUGUAUCUUUAAAUGUUCAGUUAUUUUAAAGCAAAUUCUCUAAUGUGUGUUUGAACAUUGAGAUACGUAACAAAAUAUUUAAAAACUAAUAUUCAGCAUUUAUUAUAAGAUAUUAGAUAAUCCAGGAAUGUGAAUCCAUUAACAGUUAAAACUAAAUAAAAUGUUAAAAUUUAAUAGAAAUCAGUUUAAUAUAAGAGCAGAGUUCACAUAUUGAUAUCAUUAUACUGUAAGGUGUCACUAUAUACUGUUGGAGAUAAAUACAGGGUAUUGAAUGUCUUCAUAGCUUAGAUUUGAGAAUGUUAUAAAUAAGCAGCUUAGUUUAAAUAAGAUGGAAAUGAAUACAACUUUUUCCCCCUCUAACUUAGCCAGUGAUUUUCAGAUUAGAAAACAUUAAGAUGAAAAGUGAAAAAUGUGGUUUCUGAAUGUCUGAAAAAUAAAAACAAAUCCAGAUUCAAUUUAUCAGUUUCAAUCCAGAUAUCUUUGCACACAGCCUAUUGUUAAAUGGAGGAAGAGUGAUAGCUUUUGAGUUGAUAUUUUAGAUAAAGACAUCAAUCCCCAGAGUUUCUAAUUUAGAGAGUUUAUGAUUUAUGAUCUUUUAAGUUGUCAAAACUUAUUAUUUGGACACAAACAUUUAGCACCAUAAAAUCAUCUCUCUAUAACUAUAUACUGGCUUAUAAACUUCCAAAUUUUUAGCUUAGUAAAUAAUCUAACAUGUAAGAGAUUUGGUGCAAAUAUUAAUAGUUUUCUUGUAUUUGGUCAGCUCUUACAGGAUAAGACACUUUAACCUAAUUGGUAGUGUGUGUUAUUUUAGAAGACAGGUUAAUAAAGGCUUUUACUGCUAUGUGUGAUUGGCUAUCCUUUACCCCUUAAAGGACAUUUUCUACGGAUUUUAGGUGUUUUAAAUUUGCAAACCUGAUUAUCUAUAUCUAAGCCUUGGUAAGUACUUUAUCAUAUCAGGAUUUGGGGAAAAAGACUUACUGUGGUUUUUUUUUUCUCUGAUACACUUCUUAUUUGGACAGUGUUUAUAUUCUGGGUUAAAUGCAUUUUCCGGGUUAAAAAACAUUCAUUUUCAGGAAAAAUUCUUAAUUGUUCCUAAAAUACAGUUAUACUGUCAGUGUUCAAAUUUUUUUGAAAUAGUUAUCCUUAGCAGGGAAAGAAUAUUAGGAUAAACUAGAAUUGAGAAAAUUUAACAUGUCCACUCAGGUACUUGAAAUUCUUCAUUGUCAUUGGUAGAUAAUUCUAGUUUAUAAGGACAACAUAUUUUAAGCAGUUUCUCAGCUGUAACAACUUUCUUUAUUGUGGUUUUGUAAUGUUGCUGUGGAUUCAUUAAAGAAUAGUCAAUUAAAAAAUUUUUUAAAUGUUUAUUUGAGGCAGUUUUGUAUGUGUGUACUUUGUGGUGUUUCUUGACCAACCAAUAAAAUAUAUUCUUAGUCUAUUUUUUCUUUUCAGAAUUAUAAUUUCUGAUAACCAUUUUCAAAACAAUAUUUAAGUAAUGGGAAGAUUUAAAUUUUUCAUUAAAUAUCAUUUUGAAGUAAAAUUUCAGUUCUUAGCACGACAAAACACAGUUUUGGUAUUUUAUUAACAUGUAUGAUUUGGAUUAGUUUUACUUUCCUGUUUCAUGAUUAGAGUCACUUGGAAGAGAAACAUGUAGUGUAUUUCAGAUGUAGUUCCCGAGACUGAUUAAUCCAUUGGUUAAUAGUUCAUUAAUUUGUUACUGUUUUGUGUCUUAAUUUUUAAAUAUCCUUUUUUGAUAUUUGCUGUUAGUUUUUUCCAUUGUUUGGCUUUCAUAAUAAAUGUAUUAUAGUAUUUUUGUUACCCUGUGAUCCUCAGAAUUAUUUCUUUUAUUUUUAUUAGCAUUAUUUGUUACUGAACUGCUGCUAAACAGAACAGUUGUUUUUCAAUUUUGAUAAAAAUAAAAGAUUGAGUUUUUCCCUUUUUUUCCCCACAAAAUGUUUUUAUCUGAAUUUUAGGUAUUUCUGUUUUAUACUUUUAUUUUUAAUCCCAAAUCUAGCCUUCUUGACUAGAUAUUACUUAAAUUCAGCCAGUUCUAGCAUUUAAAAAAAUAAUUUAUAGAUGUCCUAAUUUUCCUGAGUUUUUAAAUAUUUUUCAGAAUCAAAAAUUGCUUAAGGCAUUAAAAGAUAAGGAUUGCAUUUAAAAUUGAAGUAUUAAUUUAAUGCUAUUGGAUAUAAAUAGCAUCACAUUUAAAUUUAAAGAUAAUUUGACAGAAUACUUCUAUUUGUUAUUCAUUUGAUAUUAUGUACUAAGUUUUUAGCUUCAUAUUACACAUUUAAAGUAGAUAAAUUACAUGUGGAAAUUUUUUUUUAAUAGUUGGAGUUUUUUUGUAAAAGAAAAAAGUUUAUGGGCUAAAAAUCUUCUUUGUUAACAGGGUCUGAUUGCAAACAUAUGGUGAUGAUUAGAUAUGUGGAACUUGGGAGUCUGGAGCUUUUUAUAAGCAAAAUAUAAUUUCAUUUCUUGAUUAAAUUUUAGAUACUUUCUUAUUUUCCAGGAGAAUGGAUAGGAAAGAUAAUAUGAAUUUAUGAAUUCAUGGCAAAUCUGGCUAAAACUUUUCUGAGAAUUUUGAUAAUUGAGCAGUUAAAUCUAAACUAGGAGCUGAAGAUCAUUACAUGUGUCAUUAAUUUUUUGCCUUAGAUACAUUAUAGGUUCACUUUCUAAUCAAAACACUAAUUUUGUCUUCUACUCUUCCCAUCCUACUUUUUAAGAAAAAAAAAAAUUCUUAAAUAAUUGUAUCAUAUAGUGAUGUAAGCAGACCUGCUAGGUAGGUUGGGCCUGAACCAUUUUUGUCUUCUGUGUCAGUUGCAUAUGCUUUUCUUAGCUUGCUGCUUCAGCAGCAGCAGCAGCAACAAUGAAUAAACAAGUAUCACCACAGCCCUUGUUCUUGUCCCUUACAGCUGGGAGCAGGGGCUGGGAGAUUGCUGCUGCAUGUCAGCUGUUGUACAGAAUAGCAUCAAUAUGCAAUAAUGGUGGCCAAAGGAGCCUACACCCACCAGCUUUUACAGACCAGGUAGGAAGGGUCCAACUAUCAUAACCCAUAUAUAGCAUAAUAAAUACUUUUUUUGACAAAAGGUACUUUUUUUCCCAAAGCUGCAGAAAGAGAACAGUAGUUGCUUACAGUUCUUAGACUUACAUUUUUCUAUUAUUUACUCUGUGGCUUUAUUUAAUUUUUGUUCUGUUAAUUUCACGUAUGAAUGGAAAACUGUCUUGUUUCUGGAAGUAUGCAUGGUAUGUUUCAUGUUUUUCACUUUUAAGCUGGUAGAUUGGAAAAAAACUAUUAAUAAGUUGCUGAUAACACAAGUUAUGUAUUGUAUUAAGGAAAGAGAAGUUGAUUAUGGCCACAUUGGAGUGUUUCUUUCACUUUGGGGCCAUAUUCUGAGCCCAUGUUAUCUUUGUUUAUAGCCCAAACAAACAAGGCCAAAUUCUUGCUGAUUUCACUAUAACUAAAAAGAAUACCCCAUACUACUUAGUGUUGUAUUUAACUAAAGACAGAGCAGGCUGCAGGUGGAAACUCAUUAAGUCUUUACUUUUUCUUACUGUUAAAAUGUUUUAUAUCUGAAAGUUCAGAUUAUUCUAAAUUUUUUGGAAUUAGGUCUUUGUAAUAUCAAAUGAUACAGAACGGUGUUUUUUAUUUUUACAAUUUAAAUUUGCACAGCUUUGCAUAACCUAAAUAUCUGCAUUUUUCUCACCUUUUGUAUCUAAAUAAUUCCAGUAGGUUAUAGUUACAAGGAAGUGAAUGUUAGAUUUCUAUUAAUGUUCAGAUUUCAUCUGUAGUUAAUGAAGUGUAGGUAGAAAACUACAAAUGACAUUUUAUUUUGUAUAAGCCUAAUAUCCCAAUUUAAAGUCUUGACAUUUGCGGUAGCAUUCUUUUUAAAAGGUAAUCAUAGUUUUUCCCUGGUCAUCUUCAUUAAAAUUACAACUAAUCACUCCUACUCUUAAUGUUUUCCCUUACCAAUCACAGUAAACUCAGAAUAUGAAUUUCCUGCUAAUACUGUUGAAACAAGCUUUGUUGUAGUAUGUGUUAGUUUUGUCUGAAAUAAUAAAUGAGCUCAAAACCUGAUCUAAUGUGAAAUUAAAUGUAUUCAACCAUAAAUUGAAAUUACUUUUUUUUUUUUUUUACUAAUACUAGAAUGUUGUCUUUAAUGUGUUUGAUGUAAUUUAACAGAUAACGUUUUAGUUACCUGCUCUUAAUCAAAAAGUGAGUUACAUAAUCCUUUAUAUUGAAAAUAUCUUGUUUUUGCUAUGAAUUACGACAUAAACUGUCUAUGGACCACCUGUACCGGAAUAACUUAGAAUAAAGCAUUUUUCCAGACCUGCAGAAUCAGAAUCUCUGGAGCUGAGACUCAGAAAUUUGUACUUUUUACAAGCUCCACAUGAGUUCUUUUAGAAGCACCACAUGUGAGGAGUACUGCCCAAAAUGAAAUGGGGGAGGAUUCUUCACAUCAAUAAACCAUUUAUAUUUUCUGUUUCUCUCCGCCCCCCCAGCCUCUUUGGUCGUCAUGGAUCCAAGCUCAGUAACUACUUCUGAAUCGUAUCAUCUCUACCACAGUAGUUCUAGAUUAAGUCUUAUUAUUUCCUCAAUCAUGUGAAGAAAAUCAGUAUUAUGAGAGCUUUAUUUUUGUUCAAGUAUCUUGGGGCACAUUUUAGUCUCUGGUACAUUUAGUAUACCUAUGUUAGACCUACACUUGAUAAAAACAGAAGGAUUUGGUCAUUUAAGAAUUUUAAGAUUUUUUCCUCUGGAUAGUGGCUAUUUUUCUUAAAUAUACUUCCAAACAUUGGAGAAAAUAAAGAAGAACUUCUUAUAUGCUGCUUAUGGGAGCAUUUGACAAUGUCGUAGUAAAGUUGAAGAUAUACAUAGGCUUGAACCCAACAAUUCCGUUCCUAGAUGUUCUAGGUAAACUGAGACAUGUAUGAAAAAGUCUUAUAGUUACUUUUAUUUUUAAUAGGAAAAAAUCAAAAGUACUAUAAAUGUUAAGCAACAGGAGAAUGGCAAAUUGUGUCAUAGUCAUAUGAUGAACUGUUUAUUAUACUGCUGUUUAAGUGAGAGCUCUGUGUGAUCAUGGAUGAGUGUCUUCGGCGAACAAAAACAAGUUGCAAAAGGUUGUAUAUUAUAUAAUAUUUAUAUAAGAUAUAUAGCAUUUAUGUAAAGCUAGAAAGCAAUGAUAUAUAUGGUUUUAAGUACUUGAUUUUAUAGUAGUAGUAGUGUAAAAGCAUGUAUAGGAAAUAAAUGCCAAAUUCAAGAUUGUAAUUUUAUAUUAGGAGAGAAAGGAAUGGGAUCAGGGUAUGGUACGAAAAGGAUUCAACUAUAUGCAUAGGCUUUUUCUUUAAAAAAAAAAAAAAUAUGUAAAGCAAAAUAAGCCUGGCAGAAUAUUAGAAUUCCAUGAGAACGCCAGGGAUUUGAAAUUUUCCUGUGGAUUUGAAAUAUUUUUUUCAAAUAUAUCAAAAAAUGUGCUGUCUUUAUUUUGGUGAACAUCUUCUACAAUAAGAUGUAUACUUAGGAUGCUCCUAAAAGCAUGGAUGACUUUAUUCUAUUUGUUCUAUAUCUUACAGUAACUAAUAGAAAUAGUACUACUUCCUACUCUUGUAAAUAAAGAACAGCCUUGGAGGCAAUUUUUCUUAUCACUGCUCUUCCAUUUACCCUUGAAGUCAGACAGUUUCACAAUAGUAUUUUCUUUUGUUAUGGCUAUCGAUCAUAACAUUAUUUUCAGAAUUUGUUUAUGCAUUUGAAACUCCAACUUAAGCUUUGUAUUAUACUGUUUUACAGUAGAAUUCUUGGAAUUAAACAAUAUAUGGAUUUUUACAUUUUGCAUUUGUAUACAUGUUACAUGUGUGUAUGUGUGUGAGAGAAAGAUUGGUCAAUCUUGAGGUAUGAUCUUGAAUUUAUCUUAAAAUAUCUGCACUUAGAUGAUGUCCUCUAGAAGCUGAGUGUGCUCCAAGUUAGACAUGAAGUGUGAGUUUUAGUUGCACUUAGAUAUUUGACUUUUAAACUUUGAGAAGGUAAUAGUAAUAGAAAAGUGAAUUUUAAAAACUAAUGAUAACACUUUGGACUGAAAUAGGUAAAUGCUGCUUGGUGUUCAUAAUCUGUGAUUGUGCUGUAUAAGGAUCAGAAAGCUGUGAUUAUCAACUUUAGCUGAAAAUUUUAUUAACUUCUAUAAUGUGAUCAAUUUUUUAAAGUCUUCACUCUUAUUUUUUUUCCUAGGUUUAAUAAAGAUAAAAUGAAGACCAUAAUAAAAUAGUCCCCUACUUAGCCCAGCAAUUCUUACCUUGUAAGUAUCAACUCUCAGUUAAUAUUUAGUAUUAACCUCUGCCAUUGCUAUAAAAAGUUAGUGUUUCGCUACAGGUGUUGCUUUAUUUCUGAAUGACAAGUUUCUUAUCUCCCCUUACCCCCUACACAUUGAAGGUUGAUAUUAAUUUAAUCCAGUUUAGAGCAAGAAUAAUGCUAUUGCUUUGAAUAAGUUUUCUAUUUUGGAAAGUAUUUUACAGCAAGGCUCUAUUUUCUAAAUCUGAGAAUCACAAUUUUAAACACUUAUCCUCCAAAGGAAUUGAUAAAUAAGUAAUUAUCUUUAUUAUUAUUAGUCAGGUUUAUUUUUUUUUUUUAUUUUUUUAAAUGUUUAUAUAUAUU
RNAcentral lists this long non-coding RNA (13736 nucleotides) under Lynx pardinus (Iberian lynx). Lineage: Eukaryota; Metazoa; Chordata; Mammalia; Carnivora; Felidae. The record is from RNAcentral.